This 485-nucleotide ribosomal RNA is filed under the name uncultured bacterium. RNAcentral's name for it is "partial 16S ribosomal RNA". It matches the Rfam family "Bacterial small subunit ribosomal RNA", at positions 29 to 508 of the family's 1533-position model. The record is from RNAcentral.
AUUGAACGCUGGCGGCAUGCUUUACACAUGCAAGUCGAACGGCAGCGCGGGCUUCGGCCUGGCGGCGAGUGGCGAACGGGUGAGUAAUGCAUCGGAACGUGCCCAGUAGUGGGGGAUAGCCCGGCGAAAGCCGGAUUAAUACCGCAUACGACCUGAGGGUGAAAGCGGGGGACCGAAAGGCCUCGCGCUAUUGGAGCGGCCGAUGUCGGAUUAGCUAGUUGGUGGGGUAAAGGCUUACCAAGGCGACGAUCCGUAGCUGGUCUGAGAGGACGACCAGCCAAAAUGGGAAUGAGAAAAGGGCCAGAACUCCACGGGAGGGAGCAGGGGGGAAAUUUGGGAAAUGGGGGCAACCCUGAUCCAGCCAUGCCGCGUGCGGGAAGAAGGCCUUCGGGUUGUAAACCGCUUUUGUUCGGGAAGAAAUCCUCUGGGCUAAUACCCCGGGGGGAUGACGGUACCGGAAGAAUAAGCACCGGCUAACUACGUGC